GGGUUGUGAGGUUAAGCGACUAAGCGUACACGGUGGAUGCCCUGGCAGUCAGAGGCGAUGAAGGACGUGCUAAUCUGCGAUAAGCGUCGGUAAGGUGAUAUGAACCGUUAUAACCGGCGAUUUCCGAAUGGGGAAACCCAGUGUGAUUCGUCACACUAUCAUUAACUGAAUCCAUAGGUUAAUGAGGCGAACCGGGGGAACUGAAACAUCUAAGUACCCCGAGGAAAAGAAAUCAACCGAGAUUCCCCCAGUAGCGGCGAGCGAACGGGGAGCAGCCCAGAGCCUGAAUCAGUGUGUGUGUUAGUGGAAGCGUCUGGAAAGGCGUGCGAUACAGGGUGACAGCCCCGUACACAAAAAUGCACAUACUGUGAGCUCGAUGAGUAGGGCGGGACACGUGGUAUCCUGUCUGAAUAUGGGGGGACCAUCCUCCAAGGCUAAAUACUCCUGACUGACCGAUAGUGAACCAGUACCGUGAGGGAAAGGCGAAAAGAACCCCGGCGAGGGGAGUGAAAAAGAACCUGAAACCGUGUACGUACAAGCAGUGGGAGCACGCUUAGGCGUGUGACUGCGUACCUUUUGUAUAAUGGGUCAGCGACUUAUAUUCUGUAGCAAGGUUAACCGAAUAGGGGAGCCGAAGGGAAACCGAGUCUUAACUGGGCGUUAAGUUGCAGGGUAUAGACCCGAAACCCGGUGAUCUAGCCAUGGGCAGGUUGAAGGUUGGGUAACACUAACUGGAGGACCGAACCGACUAAUGUUGAAAAAUUAGCGGAUGACUUGUGGCUGGGGGUGAAAGGCCAAUCAAACCGGGAGAUAGCUGGUUCUCCCCGAAAGCUAUUUAGGUAGCGCCUCGUGAAUUCAUCUCCGGGGGUAGAGCACUGUUUCGGCAAGGGGGUCAUCCCGACUUACCAACCCGAUGCAAACUGCGAAUACCGGAGAAUGUUAUCACGGGAGACACACGGCGGGUGCUAACGUCCGUCGUGAAGAGGGAAACAACCCAGACCGCCAGCUAAGGUCCCAAAGUCAUGGUUAAGUGGGAAACGAUGUGGGAAGGCCCAGACAGCCAGGAUGUUGGCUUAGAAGCAGCCAUCAUUUAAAGAAAGCGUAAUAGCUCACUGGUCGAGUCGGCCUGCGCGGAAGAUGUAACGGGGCUAAACCAUGCACCGAAGCUGCGGCAGCGACGCUUAUGCGUUGUUGGGUAGGGGAGCGUUCUGUAAGCCUGUGAAGGUGUGCUGUGAGGUAUGCUGGAGGUAUCAGAAGUGCGAAUGCUGACAUAAGUAACGAUAAAGCGGGUGAAAAGCCCGCUCGCCGGAAGACCAAGGGUUCCUGUCCAACGUUAAUCGGGGCAGGGUGAGUCGACCCCUAAGGCGAGGCCGAAAGGCGUAGUCGAUGGGAAACAGGUUAAUAUUCCUGUACUUGGUGUUACUGCGAAGGGGGGACGGAGAAGGCUAUGUUGGCCGGGCGACGGUUGUCCCGGUUUAAGCGUGUAGGCUGGUUUUCCAGGCAAAUCCGGAAAAUCAAGGCCGAGGCGUGAUGACGAGGCACUACGGUGCUGAAGCAACAAAUGCCCUGCUUCCAGGAAAAGCCUCUAAGCAUCAGGUAACAUCAAAUCGUACCCCAAACCGACACAGGUGGUCAGGUAGAGAAUACCAAGGCGCUUGAGAGAACUCGGGUGAAGGAACUAGGCAAAAUGGUGCCGUAACUUCGGGAGAAGGCACGCUGAUACGUAGGUGAAGCGACUUGCUCGUGGAGCUGAAAUCAGUCGAAGAUACCAGCUGGCUGCAACUGUUUAUUAAAAACACAGCACUGUGCAAACACGAAAGUGGACGUAUACGGUGUGACGCCUGCCCGGUGCCGGAAGGUUAAUUGAUGGGGUUAGCGCAAGCGAAGCUCUUGAUCGAAGCCCCGGUAAACGGCGGCCGUAACUAUAACGGUCCUAAGGUAGCGAAAUUCCUUGUCGGGUAAGUUCCGACCUGCACGAAUGGCGUAAUGAUGGCCAGGCUGUCUCCACCCGAGACUCAGUGAAAUUGAACUCGCUGUGAAGAUGCAGUGUACCCGCGGCAAGACGGAAAGACCCCGUGAACCUUUACUAUAGCUUGACACUGAACAUUGAGCCUUGAUGUGUAGGAUAGGUGGGAGGCUUUGAAGUGUGGACGCCAGUCUGCAUGGAGCCGACCUUGAAAUACCACCCUUUAAUGUUUGAUGUUCUAACGUGGACCCGUAAUCCGGGUUGCGGACAGUGUCUGGUGGGUAGUUUGACUGGGGCGGUCUCCUCCUAAAGAGUAACGGAGGAGCACGAAGGUUGGCUAAUCCUGGUCGGACAUCAGGAGGUUAGUGCAAUGGCAUAAGCCAGCUUGACUGCGAGCGUGACGGCGCGAGCAGGUGCGAAAGCAGGUCAUAGUGAU
RNAcentral lists this ribosomal RNA (2402 nucleotides) under Shigella flexneri. RNAcentral's name for it is "partial 23S ribosomal RNA". It matches the Rfam family "Bacterial large subunit ribosomal RNA", at positions 1 to 2419 of the family's 2925-position model. Lineage: Bacteria; Pseudomonadati; Pseudomonadota; Gammaproteobacteria; Enterobacterales; Enterobacteriaceae. The record is from RNAcentral.